This 301-nucleotide ribosomal RNA is filed under the name uncultured bacterium. Its description in RNAcentral is "partial 16S ribosomal RNA". It matches the Rfam family "Bacterial small subunit ribosomal RNA", at positions 509 to 808 of the family's 1533-position model. The record is from RNAcentral.
CAGUAGCCACGGUAAGGCAUAGGAUGCAAGCGUUAUCCGGAAUGAUUGGGCGUAAAGCGAGCGCAGGCGGUUAGAUAAGUCUGAAGUUAAAGGCUGUGGCUUAACCAUAGUACGCUUUGGAAACUGUUUAACUUGAGUGCAAGAGGGGAGAGUGGAAUUCCAUGUGUAGCGGUGAAAUGCGUAGAUAUAUGGAGGAACACCGGUGGCGAAAGCGGCUCUCUGGUCUGUAACUGACGCUGAGGAGCGAAAGCGUGGGGAGCGAACAGGAUUAGAGACCCGCGUAGUCCCUGUCUCUUAUACA